GAUGCAGCGAUGCCGCGUGAGUGAAGAAGGCCUUUGGGUUGUAAAGCUCUUUCGUCGGGGAAGAAAAUGACUGUACCCGAAUAAGAAGGUCCGGCUAACUUCGUGCCAGCAGCCGCGGUAAUACGAAGGGACCUAGCGUAGUUCGGAAUUACUGGGCUUAAAGAGCUCGUAGGUGGUUAAGAAAGUUGGUGGUGAAAUCCCAAGGCUUAACCUUGGAACUGCCACCGAAACUUUUUGACUAGAGUAUGAUAGAGGUAAGUGGAAUUUCUAGUGUAGAGGUGAAAUUCGUAGAUAUUAGAAAGAACACCGAUUGCGAAGGCAACUUUCUGGAUCAUUACUGACACUGAGGAGCGAAAGCAUGGGUAGCGAAGAGGAUUAGAUACCCUCGUAGUCCAUGCUGUAAACGAUGUGUGCUAGAUGUUGGGAAUUUAAUUUUCAGUGUCGCAGCAAAAGCAUUAAGCACACCGCCUGGGGAGUACGACCGCAAGGUUAAAACUCAAAUGAAUUGACGGGGACCCGCACAAGCAGUGGAGCAUGUGGUUUAAUUCGAAGAUACGCGCAGAACCUUACCAACACUUGACAUGUUCGUCGCGACUCUAAGAGAUUAGAGUCAUCGGUUCGGCCGGACGAAACACAGGUGCUGCAUGGCUGUCGUCAGCUCGUGUCGUGAGAUGUUGGGUUAAGUCCCGCAACGAGCGCAACCCUUACUUUUAGUUGCUACCAUUUAGUUGGGCACUCUAAAAGAACUGCCAGUGAUAAGCUGGAGGAAGGUGGGGAUGACGUCAA
RNAcentral lists this ribosomal RNA (786 nucleotides) under uncultured Pelagibacterales bacterium. RNAcentral describes it as "bacterial SSU rRNA". It matches the Rfam family "Bacterial small subunit ribosomal RNA", at positions 385 to 1188 of the family's 1533-position model. Lineage: Bacteria; Pseudomonadati; Pseudomonadota; Alphaproteobacteria; Candidatus Pelagibacterales. The record is from RNAcentral.